UCACUUACCUGGACGGGGUUUAUGAGUGAUCGUGUAAACUCAUAGCCUAGGUUGUUGACCACCAUUUCACAUUGCGGAGGAGCAGCUGCUUAAGAUCUCCUCAAGAGGAGGAGUCUACGUUAUAAUUUGUGGUAAUGGGGGCUUGCGUUCGUGCGGCCCCUGU
Small nuclear RNA from Amaranthus tricolor (Joseph's coat), 163 nucleotides. RefSeq annotates it as U1 spliceosomal RNA. The record is from RefSeq and is a predicted model, not a curated record. NCBI's taxonomy places the organism in Eukaryota, Viridiplantae, Streptophyta, Magnoliopsida, Caryophyllales, Amaranthaceae. The transcript has a single exon.